This is a small nucleolar RNA of Bufo bufo (common toad), 66 nucleotides long. RefSeq annotates it as small nucleolar RNA SNORD58. The record is from RefSeq and is a predicted model, not a curated record. NCBI's taxonomy places the organism in Eukaryota, Metazoa, Chordata, Amphibia, Anura, Bufonidae. The transcript has a single exon.
CCGCCGUGAUGACUUCUUAGGACACCUUUGGAUUUAAGGAUGAAAACACUCUCAGGUCUGAGCGGC